Molecule: ribosomal RNA, 497 nt
Filed under: uncultured Ralstonia sp.
Lineage: Bacteria; Pseudomonadati; Pseudomonadota; Betaproteobacteria; Burkholderiales; Burkholderiaceae
Description: bacterial SSU rRNA
Rfam family: Bacterial small subunit ribosomal RNA
Source: RNAcentral
GUGCCAGCAGCCGCGGUAAUACGUAGGGUCCAAGCGUUAAUCGGAAUUACUGGGCGUAAAGCGUGCGCAGGCGGUUGUGCAAGACCGAUGUGAAAUCCCCGAGCUUAACUUGGGAAUUGCAUUGGUGACUGCACGGCUAGAGUGUGUCAGAGGGGGGUAGAAUUCCACGUGUAGCAGUGAAAUGCGUAGAGAUGUGGAGGAAUACCGAUGGCGAAGGCAGCCCCCUGGGAUAACACUGACGCUCAUGCACGAAAGCGUGGGGAGCAGACAGGAUUAGAUACCCUGGUAGUCCACGCCCUAAACGAUGUCAACUAGUUGUUGGGGAUUCAUUUCCUUAGUAACGUAGCUAACGCGUGAAGUUGACCGCCUGGGGAGUACUGUCGCAAGAUUAAAACUCAAAGGAAUUGACGGGGACCCGCACAAGCGGUGGAUGAUGUGGAUUAAUUCGAUGCAACGCGAAAAACCUUACCUACCCUUGACAUGCCACUAACGAAGCA